This 497-nucleotide ribosomal RNA is filed under the name uncultured bacterium. RNAcentral describes it as "partial 16S ribosomal RNA". It matches the Rfam family "Bacterial small subunit ribosomal RNA", at positions 28 to 507 of the family's 1533-position model. The record is from RNAcentral.
GAUGAACGCUGGCGGCGUGCCUAAUACAUGCAAGUCGAGCGAGCAGACGAGGAGCUUGCUCCUCUGACGUUAGCAGCGGACGGGUGAGUAACACGUGGAUAACCUACCUAUAAGACUGGGAUAACUUCGGGAAACCGGAGCUAAUACCGGAUAAUAUAUUGAACCGCAUGGUUCAAUAGUGAAAGACGGUUUUGCUGUCACUUAUAGAUGGAUCCGCGCCGCAUUAGCUAGUUGGUAAGGUAACGGCUUACCAAGGCGACGAUGCGUAGCCGACCUGAGAGGGUGAUCGGCCACACUGGAACUGAGACACGGUCCAGACUCCUACGGGAGGCAGCAGUAGGGAAUCUUCCGCAAAGGGCGAAAGCCUGACGGAGCAACGCCGCGUGAGUGAUGAAGGUCUUCGGAUCGUAAAACUCUGUUAUUAGGGAAGAACAAAUGUGUAAGUAACUAUGCACGUCUUGACGGUACCUAAUCAGAAAGCCACGGCUAACUACGUG